Molecule: long non-coding RNA, 1158 nt
Filed under: Piliocolobus tephrosceles (Ugandan red Colobus)
Lineage: Eukaryota; Metazoa; Chordata; Mammalia; Primates; Cercopithecidae
Description: lncRNA (ENSPTEG00000032182.1)
Source: RNAcentral
AAAGCAUUCUUGGAAGCUAGCUUUGCAGCGGGACUGUCAGGACAAGUACUGUGUAUCCAAAGGUCCUCUCCUCUGCUCUAUUGAGCCCUAGCCCUAUGAAGUGACCCCAGAAAAUGCUUUCCUUCCAAUUUCAUCAUUUACGCUGUCUGCCAAGCACCUCGUCAGCUCACAUCUGGACACUUUGCUCAAGCAGCAUGGGUCUCCAAGCCAGGGGCCACGUGGAGGGAGGCAGCAGAGAUGAGGUGCCUGGGCAGGAGCUGUCCUGCAAGAGCCUGGAGUCUGCAGGAGGGACGUACCUGUGACCCAAGCUGCACCAGUCGGAAUGUCCUGCCAGGGAAUGUGGGUCUUGAGCCGAGUGAUGCCAGGAUGGAGCGUGGUGAAGGCUGAUUCGUCCAGACAGCCUCCCCUGGGGGAGAUUGCCCUUUGGUUCCCACACUCUAGAUCCCAGCGUCUGCUCUGAGUUGCAUCCUUUCAGCUUCCUCCCAGAUUUUCAGCUGCCUCCCAUCUUUCAUUCAAUUCUUUUUCUGCUCAAGUUAGCCAGAUUCAAUUUCUAUUGAAUUUGACCAAAGCACCUGGACUAACACGCAUCCUAAGGGUGGGGAGGAGGGGGGCUGUACUUAUUGCUCAGCCAGUGCUUCUCAUUUUGACUCCUGCCCAACCAUAGCACUUUCUGUUCAUGGAUUGAGGUGGAGCUGAGUGAGAAAAGCAGGAUCCUAUUAUCCACACAUUUUAGGGCCAGAGAAGGACUCCGUGCUUCUAUAUUUGAGUCCUUGCGGACAAACUGCAAGGUAGCUUAAUAGGCAGACAAGAUUGAAAACCUAACUUAGGAGUAUCUGCUUGUAACUACAGCUGAGUUGUCUUGGCCAAUUCCAGCAGCCAUACUUCAACCAUUCACACACUGCUGAGUGUUCAAACUGGGUUCAAAUAAGGCAAACGCCAACUUUUAACCAACCCAGCCAUUCUAUACCUCACUUCCGAUUUCUGUACUUUAUUUUCCUUUUUUUGUCUGUAAGUCUUCUUCCACCACGUAGCUGCGCUGGAGUCUUUGUGAAUCUGCUGUGAUUCUGGGGGCUGCCCGAUUCACAAAUCAUUCAUUGCUCAAUUAAACUUCUUUAAAUUUAAUUCAGCUAAAGUUUUUCUUUUAUCGAAAUGAAAUUG